CAGAGUCUUGAUGAUAAUUGCUAGAUGAGAUGUUUUGCCUGUUUGGUUGUUUAAUUCCUUUACAUCAGAUUCUUUCUGAUGGGCGUUAAUGUGUAGCAUGCAGAUCCUGACAUUUGGUAUCUGUAUUCGUUCGUUCUCACACUGCUUUGAAGAAAUACCUGAGAUUGUGUAAUUUUUCCAAGUGCAGAAUAUGUUGCUUCUAAAAUCAGAAUAGGCUUCCCAGUUUCUGGGUGGAAGGAGGUGUAAGGCACAAUAGCUUGUUCUUUACCAUGGAGGGGAUGGAUGUUCCAUUAUGUCCAGACUACUGUCUUCCUCAAAACUUCACGAAUGCAGCAAGUUCUUGACUAUUUUUAGGGUUAUAUUUCUCCCUGGCAUAUUUCUUGCCAGGGCAUCUAUGGUUCUUGUCACUUUUUGAUUAUCAGGUCUAAUUAACUUAC
RNAcentral lists this long non-coding RNA (437 nucleotides) under Homo sapiens (human). Its description in RNAcentral is "non-protein coding lnc-HHIPL2-6:2". The record is from RNAcentral. Lineage: Eukaryota; Metazoa; Chordata; Mammalia; Primates; Hominidae.